CAACGACUCUCGACAACGGAUAUCUCGGCUCUCGCAUCGAUGAAGAACGUAGCGAAAUGCGAUACUUGGUGUGAAUUGCAGAAUCCCGUGAACCAUCGAGUCUUUGAACGCAAGUUGCGCCCGAAGCCAUUAGGUUGAGGGCACGUCUGCCUGGGUGUCACG
This 162-nucleotide ribosomal RNA is filed under the name Kitagawia praeruptora. RNAcentral describes it as "Peucedanum praeruptorum 5.8S ribosomal RNA". It matches the Rfam family "5.8S ribosomal RNA". From Rfam's summary of the family: 5.8S ribosomal RNA (5.8S rRNA) is a component of the large subunit of the eukaryotic ribosome. It is transcribed by RNA polymerase I as part of the 45S precursor that also contains 18S and 28S rRNA. Functionally, it is thought that 5.8S rRNA may be involved in ribosome translocation. Lineage: Eukaryota; Viridiplantae; Streptophyta; Magnoliopsida; Apiales; Apiaceae. The record is from RNAcentral.